Molecule: unclassified non-coding RNA, 243 nt
Filed under: Hevea brasiliensis (rubber tree)
Lineage: Eukaryota; Viridiplantae; Streptophyta; Magnoliopsida; Malpighiales; Euphorbiaceae
Source: RNAcentral
AGGAAUUUCUCCAUCAAGAUUAUUGUUGCUCAACAACAGAACACUGAGGGAAGAUAGGAGACCAAAGGAACUUGGAAUUUGGCCUGUUAAAGUAUUGUUUGACACAUCAAUAGCCCAGAACAUUAGUUGAUGCCAACAGUUGGGAAGUUCUCCUGAAAUCUGAUUGUUCCUAAGCGAAAGAACUUGCAGACCUCCUAUAUCACACAAUGAUGAUGGAAUUCUACCAGUAAGAUGGUUCGAAAA